Molecule: long non-coding RNA, 1974 nt
Organism: Manis pentadactyla (Chinese pangolin)
Lineage: Eukaryota; Metazoa; Chordata; Mammalia; Pholidota; Manidae
Exons: 4
Source: RefSeq, a predicted model, not a curated record
CCCCAAGGUUUACCCUCCCAAAGAGAUAAGUCAGGGGGUGAGGUUUCUGCUUGCAAAAGGCCAGCACUGAACUGCUGCUCUCAAUUAGCCUUGAGCCUUUCUUCACAGCUCAUUAACUGGGAGCUGCCUGAAAAAUCAUCGAGGCCAGUUGUUCCCAAAUUCUUGGCAUGGGAUUACUUUUUACAAACAAACUCUUUCUUAGAACUCUAGUCCAUGAGACAGAAAACAUGAAACAUCGACGUGGAUGGUCCCUUGACUCCUCCAAAAUUACAGCCUAGUGGGGACCAUCACGCUAAUUCCACCUGUUGAGAGACCACAGCUCACUGUUGGGGAGAGGAGAUGAAAACUGUGUAUCAGUUCAUGUCCUCUGUUUUUGAAAAGCCAGGAAAACUGAUUUCUUUCAGAGGACUGGCAGGUUUGGAGCUCGGAGAGGCCUGGAAUCACCAAGUUGGAAGAGGCACAGCUGGAUGAGGAACCUGAAGCACAGCAAUGGAUGGAGAGAUUCUGGAUGAACAUGGAUAUUCUGCCCCAAAGGGUUUUCACUCUUUAUAACUAUUUUGUUCAUGCCUGGUACACACCAGGCAUUGCAGGCUCUGGGGACAGCAAUGAGCAAGACAGACCCAGCAGAGCUCACAGUCUGGCAUAAGAGGUAGAUACCCAUUGAAUCAUCACUCAUAUAUUACAUAUGGCAUCCAGUUCUUUAAGAUCCAUGUUGCUUCUUCGGAGACACUGCACGGCUGAGUGACCAACUGUGCUUUCUUAUGCAGCCAUGACCAGCUCAGCCAUGUGCCACCUUGUGCUCGCUUUCUGUCCUUCCUGAUUGGCUUCCAUUUUCCUGCAAUCUGUACCCCACCACGCACCCUGUAAUGAAACAUCGGUACCUAAACUUUGCCUCCAACUCUGUUGUCUAGGCAACCAAGCCUAACAUGAAGACAAGAAAUUGAGAGUUGUUAGAUCAUAACCACUCAAAAACUUAUAGGAGGACUGGCUGUUCCUAAUGUUGGCAAGAAUACAGAGCAAGUAGAACUCUUUGUUCACUGUUGGUGGGAAUGUAAAAUGGAAGAGCCACUUUGGAAAACAGUUUGGAAGUUUCUUAAAAGGUCAAAUAUACACCUACCAUAUGGCCCAAUCUUUGCACUCCGAAGUAUUUAUCCAAGAGAAAAAAAAAUACGUCCACACAAAGACUUGUACAUGAAUGCUUAUAGCAGCUUUAUUUAAAAUAGCCCAAACUGGAAAACAAUCAAAUGUCACUUAGCUGCUGAAGGCAUAGACAAAUGGUGGUGUAUUCAUACAAGGUAAUUCUACUCAGCAAUAAAAAUGAAUCAACUAUUGAUAUAUACCACAUGGGCGAAUUUCAAAAUAAUUAUGCUGAGUGAAUGAAGACAAAGGAAGAGUCCUACUAUUUGAUCCCAUUUACAUAAAUUCUAGAACAUGUACAUUAAUCUACAAUAGCAGAAAGGUCAGGGUUGCCUGGGAACAGUGUGGAGGAGGGAUGGAUUGCAAAGAGGCACAAGGAAGUUUUAGGGCUGAUGAAAAUGUCUGCUAUGUUGAUUUGGUGAUAGUUUCAUGGGAAUGCCUUAACAAAGAUGUAAAAAUGAGAGAAAAAAAUUGCAAAGAAAUCACCAGGCCCAUAAGUGAAUUCAACCAAAUCCUUAGAGAAAUGAUUGAUAACUGCAAUGCUAUCUAAAGCAUUUCAGUAUAUAGAGAAAAAAGAAAAGCUUCAAAAUUUCUUUUAUGAAAUCAGCAUAACUUUGAUACUAAAAACCUGGCAAAAAUAGCACAUUAAUGAAGAGCAUGCUGUUCUGCACACACUUACAGAGUUAUUAUUAACUCUGUAAAUCAACUACACUGCAUCUGACCUAGUUUCAAGAUUUUUCUUUGUCUUUGGUUUCUAGAAGUUUAAUUACAAAGCGCCUUUGUGUGGAUUUCCUUGGGCUUAUCCUGUUUGGGAAAAUUAUCAAUCAGGUAAGACUG